CAAAACGUAGCUUAAUUUUAAAGCAUCUCUUUUACACUGAGAAAAUACUUGUGAAAAACAAGCCGUUUUGA
RNAcentral lists this transfer RNA (71 nucleotides) under Eptatretus atami. RNAcentral describes it as "tRNA-Val". It matches the Rfam family "tRNA". Rfam says of the family: Transfer RNA (tRNA) molecules are approximately 80 nucleotides in length. Their secondary structure includes four short double-helical elements and three loops (D, anti-codon, and T loops). Lineage: Eukaryota; Metazoa; Chordata; Myxini; Myxiniformes; Myxinidae. The record is from RNAcentral.